UUUCCGUAGGUGAACCUGCGGAAGGAUCAUUACUGAGUGAGGGCCCUCUGGGUCCAAUCUCCCACUCAAGAUCAUUGUACCUUGUUGCUCCGGUGACCCCGCGUCCCGGCCGCCGGUGGGAAACUCCCUGCGGGACCGCGCUGGCCGAUCACACCGUUCUAAGCUGACUGAAGUAUGCAUCAAGAGCGAAUCCUUUAUAACUUAAAACUUUCAACAACGGAUCACAUGGUUCGGGCAUAGAUGUAGAACGCAGCAACUCGGCUAAGCACACGUCUGCAC
RNAcentral lists this unclassified non-coding RNA (279 nucleotides) under plant metagenome. RNAcentral describes it as "partial contains small subunit ribosomal RNA, internal transcribed spacer 1, and 5.8S ribosomal RNA". The record is from RNAcentral.